Unclassified non-coding RNA from Papio anubis (olive baboon), 148 nucleotides. It matches the Rfam family "Metazoan signal recognition particle RNA". From Rfam's summary of the family: The signal recognition particle (SRP) is a universally conserved ribonucleoprotein. It is involved in the co-translational targeting of proteins to membranes. NCBI's taxonomy places the organism in Eukaryota, Metazoa, Chordata, Mammalia, Primates, Cercopithecidae. The record is from Ensembl.
GCCGGGCGUGGUGGCGUGCGCCUGUAGUCCUAGCUUCCCAGGAGGCUGAGGCAGGAGAAUUGCUUGAAUCCGGGAGAUGGAGGUUGCAGUGAGCUGAGAUCACGCCACUGCACUCCAGCCUGGGUGAUAGAGUGAGACUCUGUCUCAA